GUGAUUUUGACAAGGGCCAAAUUGUCAUGGCUAGAUGAGUGGGUCAGAGCAUCUCCAAAAUGGGAGGUCCUGUGGGGUGUUCCCAGUAUGCAGUGGUUAGUACCUACCAAAAGUGGUCCAAGGAAGGACGAACCAGGUCAAGAUUGUCCAAGGCUCACUGAUGCAUGUGGAGCGCGAAUGCAAGCCCGUCUGGUCCGAUCCCAAAGAAGAGCAAGGCACCAGGAUGCACUAUAGCAGUGGUUUUCAAAGUGGGGGCUGCCAGGGGGCACCCGGGAAGCCUCAACAAUUUGUUCUUCCAUCUACUACUCAACUGAAGGCGUGGUCUGGAAAGCUCUUUACUGCUUCAGUGGAUGAGACUGAAAUGAUAAGUGACCUAACCAAACCAAAGCCUUGACUUCACAGCAUGUAGACCAUUGAAAAUGAAGAGCAAACUGAGGUAGGUGAACUGCAGAGAUCAUAUUUGGUUAUUCAUCCACCAUGGAUGAGCAGUGUGUCCUUUACUUCCUGCACUGUCACUAGACCAAACAGUCUGCUAUGUCAAGCACCUAAUAAAACAUUACUGCGUUUAGGUACAACAGUUUCUCCUAUUAAGCACUGUUGUCUGGCUUGUGGCAUUUCGACUGGCUCUUAAUCCACAGAACUAUGUCGCUUUUAAACAAGCUUUAAAAAGCAUGCUCAAUGAACGUGAACAACGUACAGCAGCAACCGUGCAAGAGACUGCAAGAUUCAGGCAAAGUUUCUCCAAAGCCCUACCUGAGAUUUUAGGAAUAGACUUGCAGCCAUAUGUGCAUAUCACUAUUUUUACCAUUAGCGCUGAUGCCAUACAGCGAACACCCAGACAGGUUAUUGCAUUUGUCUUUCUGCUGGCCUGCAGAAGGAUCCUAUUACUUUGGAAAUUACAGAAACCUCCACGGUUGUGCCUCAGGAUAUGUAAUGUAACUUGGAAAGAAACGUUGCCCUACCUGACAACCAGUGAUUUUGUAAGUAGAGGAUCCAACGGUGCUACUAGCAGAUUUGUUUCCGUGUGUGACGAACCUAAUAUUUUAUUCAUCUACUGUCUACAUUCCAUAGCGUGUGUGUUAUGAGUUUUGCAUGCUUUUAUCCAUCCUUAGUUGCCCUGGAGGAUUAUGGAAAUAUAUAAAGAAGGGAACUUGCAUAUGUAGUCCAUUUUUCUACUGUACAACCCCAUACAACAUUUUAAUACUCCCCUCCCUGUACUUUAAGCCUUCUUUUGAGAUAGAUAUAAAAUCCUGCAUGCCACCUGAUCCCUGCAACUGCUCCACUUCUUUUCAGUCUCCUCAAGUUCUCUCACAUCAUUCCAUUGCUGGAUUCCCUCCACCUGCUCCAUGUAGCUGCAUGUACCAGAUUAAAAAAACAAACAGACACGUUUGCUUACAGAGUCAAAUAUGGACCAGGACCAGGCUACCUUAAAGCACUCUGCACCAUGUUCCCUUCGAGCUGCUAGCUCAGCUUGACUGGACCCACCAUCUCCUAAGAUGAUAAGACUUGCAAUAGCAUUUUCUGUCCUGAACACCUACCUUUUUACCAACCUCUUAAAUGAGCACUAAUAAAUUACUUUAAAAAAAAACCCUUUGACCCUUGUUUUGUUUUUGUUUCUCAUUAUACUAAAGGACUUCGCCUACUUAAGGCAGAGACAUCGAAGAGGGUUAUGCUAAAACAAAACCACCUACGUGAGUUUAUAAGCCCACAUUCUUUGCAGUUUGCAGUAUGUGCUCCUGUGCUGCAGGUGGCACUGUAAAUAUUUUAUGACAAUUUGCUGGCUAGAGGUAG
Ictalurus punctatus (channel catfish) is the source of this 1791-nucleotide long non-coding RNA. The record is from Ensembl. NCBI's taxonomy places the organism in Eukaryota, Metazoa, Chordata, Actinopteri, Siluriformes, Ictaluridae.